Molecule: transfer RNA, 72 nt
Filed under: Phrynosoma platyrhinos (Desert horned lizard)
Lineage: Eukaryota; Metazoa; Chordata; Lepidosauria; Squamata; Phrynosomatidae
Description: tRNA-OTHER
Source: RNAcentral
GCCAAUGUGAUGUAAUGGUUUGAGCAUUGGACUAUGACUCUGGAGAUCAGGGUUCAAUUCCUUGCAUGGCCA